RNAcentral lists this ribosomal RNA (301 nucleotides) under uncultured bacterium. RNAcentral describes it as "partial 16S ribosomal RNA". It matches the Rfam family "Bacterial small subunit ribosomal RNA", at positions 509 to 807 of the family's 1533-position model. The record is from RNAcentral.
CAGCAGCCACGGGAAUACGGAGGGUGCAAGCGUUAAUCGGAAUUACUGGGCGUAAAGCGCACGCAGGCGGUCUGACAAGUCAGAUGUGAAAUCCCCGGGCUUAACCUGGGAACUGCAUUUGAAACUGUCAGGCUGGAGUCUUGUAGAGGGGGGUAGAAUUCCAGGCGUAGCGGUGAAAUGCGUAGAGAUCUGGAGGAAUACCGGUGGCGAAGGCGGCCCCCUGGACAAAGACUGACGCUCAGGUGCGAAAGCGUGGGGAGCAAACAGGAUUAGAUACCCCAGUAGUCCCUGUCUCUUAUAC